RNAcentral lists this ribosomal RNA (407 nucleotides) under Verrucomicrobiota bacterium. Its description in RNAcentral is "Verrucomicrobia bacterium partial 16S ribosomal RNA". It matches the Rfam family "Bacterial small subunit ribosomal RNA", at positions 355 to 776 of the family's 1533-position model. The record is from RNAcentral. Lineage: Bacteria; Pseudomonadati; Verrucomicrobiota.
UGGGGAAUAUUGGACAAUGGUGGAAACUCUGAUCCAGCAAUUCUGUGUGUGUGAAGAAGGUUUUAGGACUGUAAAACACUUUUAGUAGGGAAGAAAAAAAUGACGGUACCUACAGAAGAAGCAACGGCUAAAUACGUGCCAGCAGCCGCGGUAAUACGUAUGUUGCGAGCGUUAUCCGGAAUUAUUGGGCUUAAAGGGCAUCUAGGCGGUAAGACAAGUUGAAGGUGAAAACCUGUGGCUCAACCAUAGGCUUGCCUACAAAACUGUUGAACUAGAGUACUGGAAAGGUGGGUGGAACUACACGAGUAGAGGUGAAAUUCGUAGAUAUGUGUAGGAAUGCCGAUGAUGAAGAUAACUCACUGGACAGAAACUGACGCUGAAGUGCGAAAGCUAGGGGAGCAAACAGG